AUGGGCGACGACGAUAGCAAGACCAAGCAUUUUGCGAUGGGAGGCAGUUCGGCGGUGAAGAAAGAAACCUUACCCCCGACGACCUUCCCGCGGCUAGAGGGAGAGGACUAUGCUAUGUGGGCGAUCAAGAUGGAGUGCGCCAUGGAGGCUCACGAAAUCUGGGAUGCGAUCGAUCCUGGAGGCGAUGCAUAUAAGAAGGGAGGUACAGAAUAUAAGAAGGAUCGGCAGGCCAUGUCUGCGAUCUACUCUGUCAUCCCCAAUGAUGUAGCACGUCAUGUAUCCGGGAAGAAUACAGCAGCAGAAGCCUGGGAGGUGAUCAAGGAACUUCACCAAGGGCACAACCGUGUUCGUGAGGCUCGUCUACAAUCUCUGUUGAGGGAUUAUGAAAGUCUGAAGAUGGAUGAAAGUGAAUCCGUGGAUAAAUUUGCCAUGAGGGUGGUUGAGAUCACCAGCUCCAUCAAGGACCUUGGAGAGACUUUGACAGAUAUCGCGAUUGUACGUCGCUUCCUCCGUGCUGCAGCACCACGAUACAUGCAGAUUGUCACCUCAAUCGAACAGUGCGUGGACCUGAAGACCUUGUCGGUCGCAGAACUCGUCGGGAGAUUCAAAGCCCAUGAUGAGAGGAUCAGGUUGAACUUCGGGGAUCCGAAGGAAAGUGAAAAUUUGUUCCUGACCAAGACGCAGUGGAUGGAACUGUCAAACAACAAGAAAAACAAGGGGACAGGAGCAAGCGGCAGUGGCAAGAAGGAAUAUCGGCUUAACCCGAAGAAAUCAGAAGAAGAGGUUGAGGCCCCAGCCAAACCAAAGUUUGAUCGGAAGAAAAUUAAGUGCCAUAACUGUGGAAUUUUUGGACACUUUAAAUCUGAAUGUCGCAAGCCACCAAAGAAGGAAAAAGCUUUCCUAGCAAAGGGAGGUGAUGAUCAGCCUGAGAUGCUGAUGGUAGAGCUAUGCGAGCUCAUGGAAGAUGAGCAGAUUGAAGAACGUCCAAAGCACACGCUCGUGCCUAAAGAGGUUCAGGAAGAGAAAAUACAGAGAAAGCUCAAUGAAUAUGUGACACUUGUAGAUGAUAAAGUGCAUCUGCAGCAGAAGGAAAAGGUUGAAGCUGGUGGGAAUGUCUGGUACUUGGACUCAGGAGCGAGUAAUCACAUGACCGGCGAUACUGAUCAAUUUUCUGAGUUGAAUACUUCAGGUGGAGGCACUGUAAAAUUUGGAGAUGCCUCGACCGUGCAGAUUUGUGGUCGCGGAACCGUGUUAUUUGAGACACGAAAGGGAGAACACAAGGUGCUGACGGAUGUGUAUUUCAUCCCGAGACUGAAGAGUAGCAUUAUAAGUCUCGGCCAACUCGAAGAGCGCGGUUGCAAGAUCGUCAUUGAGGAUGGCAUGAUGUUGGUGUUUGACCGUCAGCGUACACUGCUCGCACGGGUGAAGCGCUCGAGGAAUCGCCUCUACAUACUGAACCUUGAUCGUGCCGACCCAGUUUGUUUGCUCGCUGGUAUGCAGGAGGAUGCCUGGAGAUGGCAUGCACGCUAUGGUCAUCUGAAUUUCCGAGCGUUGCGUACACUAGGGCAGAAGGAGAUGGUGCAUGGUCUACCAAGAAUUGAGCAUGUCGAGCAGCUUUGUGAUGGUUGUCUUGUUGGGAAACAGAAGCGUAACCCGUUCCCCUAUGAAGCAAAUUUCAGAGCAAGCAAGGUUAUGGACUUGAUGCAUGGUGAUUUGUGUGGACCAAUCACACCUGCUACCCCAGCUGGUAAUCGAUAUUUUUUGCUCAUUGUCGAUGACUAUAGCAGGUUCAUGUGGAUCGUGUUGUUGAAGACCAAAGAUCAGGCUUUUGAAGCAUUUAAAAAGGUCAAGGUUGCAGCCGAAGUAGAAGCUGAAGCAAAGUUGAAAGCUCUCAGAACGGAUAGAGGUGGUGAGUUCAGAUCCAAGAGGUUCAAUGCCUAUUGUGAAGAACAUGUCAUUAGAAGGUAUUUGACGGCUCCCUACACACCGCAGCAAAACGGCGUGGUAGAGAGAAGAAACCAAACGGUUGUAGCUAUGGCACGGAGCAUGUUAAAGAGUAAAAAUAUGCCCGGAAGAUUUUGGGGGGAGGCUGUUACCACAGCACUCUAUUUGCUCAAUCGAGCGCCCACCAAAAGUGUGAUCGGAAAGACUCCGUACGAAGCAUGGUGCGGGAGGAAACCUACUGUGGAACACUUGCGCACAUUCGGUUGUGUAGCUCAUGUAAAAACAGUAGGAGGUCACAUUGGAAAGCUAGAAGACCGCAGCACACCGAUUGUGUUGCUUGGAUAUGAGCCUGGAUCAAAAGCAUACCGAGUAUAUGACCCUCGUACAAGGAUGCUAAGAGUAACUCGAGAUGUUGUCUUUGAAGAAGCAAAAGCAUGGAAUUGGGAUUCUGCAACUGAACCAGCUCCGCAUUCUUCAGGUGAUAUAUUUAAGGUGUUUUAUGAUCACCAUGAUGCAGGUCACGAUGAGCACAAUCAUGACCAUGGGGACAAAGGGGAAGUACCGAGCACGCCCGUUGUACAAGGCGGUGCUCCGGAGUUUGUGGAUUUAGGCUCACCAACAACCCCUUCAUCAUUCAUUGAGAGCGGCAGCAAAAGCCCCAGCGCAGCUGCCAUGGCAACAGAAAAUGCUGCAAUGGCAGGACAUCCACAUGAGGCUACAGAUAUGACAGAACAAGGUGAUGCAGAAGCAGCAAGCGAACCUCCUCGAGGACCGCCAACUCCAGUUCGGCUGCGCUCAAUCGAUGACAUUUAUGAAGCCACGAAUCCACCAGCAACCAGGGGAAGAGGACGCAACAGAGGUCAGGUUGCGAGUAGAAGAAGUUCAUCUGCAAGUUUAAGAGAAGAAAUUGCAGAGCUCUGUUUUCUAGGUGCAGAGGAACCUGUAUCAUUUGAAGAAGCAAACCAGGAAGAAACUUGGAGGAAAGCAAUGACAGAGGAGAUGGACUCGAUCAUUGAUAACAAGACUUGGUCCUUAACCAAUCUUCCUGAAGGACACCGAGCUAUAGGUCUGAAGUGGGUAUUUAAAGAAAAGAAAAAUUCAGAGGGAUCGGUGAUCAAGAACAAGGCUCGCCUUGUCGCGAAAGGAUUUGUACAGCAGCAAGGAGUGGACUUUGAUGAGGUUUUUGCCCCAGUUGCGAGGAUGGAAUCUGUCCGGCUGCUAAUUGCAAUUGCAGCUCAGAAAGCGUGGAAGCUACAUCAUAUGGAUGUCAAGUCGGCAUUUUUGAAUGGUGUGUUAGAGGAGGAAGUUUAUGUAAAACAACCUCCAGGUUUCAUCAAGGUGGGUAGUGAAGAAAAGGUGUUGAGACUCCACAAAGCUCUGUAUGGUUUACAUCAAGCUCCGAGAGCGUGGAACAUUAAAUUAAAUGACACGCUGAUAUCUCUCGGAUUUGAGAGGAGUCCAUUUGAGCAUGCUAUGUACAAAAGGGGGAAAGAAAAAUCUCGCCUAAUAGUUGGAGUAUACGUGGAUGACCUACUGAUAACAGGAGAGGAUGAGCAAGAAUUGGCAAGGUUCAAACAGCAGAUGAAGGACUUAUUUAAGAUGUCCGACCUGCGUUUAUUGAGCUACUAUCUAGGCAUAGAAGUGCAUCAAAAACCAGGGAGUAUAACGCUAUGUCAGGAGGCAUACGCGAGAAAGAUCCUAGAGAUCAGGCAUGACAGAUUGCAAUUCUGCUCAAACUCCUAUGGAAGUUCGUCUCAAGCUGAGUAA
This 3711-nucleotide ribosomal RNA is filed under the name Triticum aestivum (bread wheat). RNAcentral's name for it is "partial small subunit ribosomal RNA". The record is from RNAcentral. Lineage: Eukaryota; Viridiplantae; Streptophyta; Magnoliopsida; Poales; Poaceae.